Molecule: ribosomal RNA, 449 nt
Filed under: uncultured bacterium
Lineage: Bacteria
Description: bacterial SSU rRNA
Rfam family: Bacterial small subunit ribosomal RNA
Source: RNAcentral
GAUCAUGGCUACAGAACGAACGCUGGCGGCAGGCUUAACACAUGCAAGUCGAACGGUUGUAGCAAUACAGCAGUGGCAGACGGGUGAGUAACACGUGGGAACCUUCCUAGGGGUACGGAACAACUCAGGGAAACUUGAGCUAAUACCGUAUACGUCCGUGAGGAGAAAGAUUUAUCGCCUAGAGAUUAGCCCGCGUCUGAUUAGCUAGUUGGUGAGGUAAAGGCUCACCAAGGCGACGAUCAGUAGCUGGUCUGAGAGGAUGAUCAGCCACACUGGAACUGAGACACGGUCCAGACUCCUACGGGAGGCAGCAGUAAGGAAUAUUGGACAAUGGGGGAAACCCUGAUCCAGCCAUGCCGCGUGAGUGACGAAGGCCUUAGGGUUGUAAAGCUCUUUUGGCGGGGAAGAUAAUGACUGUACCCGCAGAAUAAGCCCCGGCUAAAUUCGUG